GUUGGAUUGAGAUCUUUUGAAACUGUUUUCGUUCCACUAGAAAACUGGUGCUGAUUAUUAUUACCUGGUCUUAUUAAUAGCUUUUUAUUUUUGGCUAGAUUUAGUUAUUGUUGAAAGUCUACGUACCUAAACGUGAGAAUACUUAAACAAAACACGGACGUUGAUGUUAUUGAUUAUUGAAGGCGAACCUUCUAAAAGUCGGGAGAGAGCGCAUCGACUCGUAAAUUCAUCAAUCAUUCCGUAUAAUUGAUUUCAUUUCUACACAAUUGCACAAAAGCGCGAUCUCGUUUUUAGGUUUCUACGAAUUCGAGUAAUAGCCUCUCCUAUCCCCCUAGUGUUAAACUGGAAUACCUGGAAAUGUUUAGAGUUAUCAGUCCGAUUUUGCAAGUCAGCAAAGCAAUUCGCGCCUUGUCCAUUCUCCCAAGCCGGAAAUGGAGUGGAGAAAUAAUCAUUUGUCAUCGGCUUGGCUUAUUCGGGUCGAUCCUGCCCCGGCGACUUAAUAAGCGUGCUGAGUGUUCCAAAGUGUUUAAUUAAUUUAAUUUAAUUUUGUUAGAAAUAAGAAAAGAAGAAUGAACAAACUUGUGGGUGUAGGGGAAGGUCUUCCAUGUCAAAGUAUGGCAGACGUCCUCGCUUGCCGAAUCUGCAAUCAGGAACCCAACGGAAAUGGAUGAUUGGAAUUAACAAUUGACGCGAUUACAUCAUGCGUGAAAAGUUGAAAUAGCUGAAGUAUAAUGGUGCGUGCAAAAUAGGAAAGAAACCUUUGCGGGAGAAUCGCUAGCUGUGAGUUAUAUGUGUGACUGGUGUGAAGAAUUGAGCGGGAAAAAUCAAAAGUCUUUGGAUUUGAAUUUGAGUUGAUACCUGGGACGAACGAGUGAGUUGUCGUAGCGCCGGUCGAGUUGCUUCAGCUGCAGUAACUGGACAAUCUUACCGCCCCUGAUACUGAACAUACGCUAACACAGUUUCAAUGUUAAAACAAUGGACGGCUCUGCUGAGGUUCAUUUGAGAGCAAAAAGGAAAAGUCUCAAAAAACACAAUGAAGAGGAUCGAACUAAUCACUUUGAAUUAGGAUAUACAUGCAAUCGAUGACGGUACACGUCACCUGUCGAUGAAUGUUUCAAGAGAAAAGGUCAAAACGACCACACACAAAGAAAUUUGAAUUUUGUAUUAUACCUGGGCCGGGCGGCUUGACCAUAGACUUUGUCCAAUCCUUGAAGAUAUUUGAUGGCAUCAGCCAUGGCCGUCAUUUCUCCGCCUUCACCUCCGCUCAUGACGUCUCCGCCAUCGGCUUUGGUGGUAGUGACGCAAACGGCCAACACGACCAUCACCACCAGGAAGACCAAAGCGGCCAACGAACAGGAGCGGGGAAGGAAUUGCUGGAUGCUGCUGCUGGACAUUUUGUGGUUGGGUGAGUCUAGUGGAAGAAGAUGAUGAGGGAGGUAGAAGAGGCAAGUGUCGACUGUGUCCUGACUGGGCCAUUUGGCACCUUUUUAUACCCGUUUCCCAUCCCUCUGGUCCAGCGGCGUGUGCCCACCGGUUGACGCAGUCGCGGAUAAAGGAUUGGAAAAAGUCUGUCAGCCGCAGGAUUCCCGCUCAGUUGCAACUGUUUUUGUUUUCCCAACUGCUACGCAAAUGAAGAAUUGCGAACAUGACAACUCAAUGGUAUAAUAACCGCAGCUGCCAAUGACGUCGGAAGACGGCCCCAGAUAUUUACAGACAACUCGAGCCGGAACUGUUGCAGAUUCUACACAUUGGACACAGCACUUGGACACAAAUCCUUUUGGGUUGGUGGCGGCUGCCGGCCGGGAUGGAUUUGACACUCUCCAACACAACAAACCACUUCUCCCACAUACACCAAGAUGUAACUUUUUUGUCCGUUUCGUCGCGUUAAACUGGAAGGGGGGAAAUAAAGUCCCGGAGAAUUUUAAAAA
Daphnia pulex (common water flea) is the source of this 1928-nucleotide long non-coding RNA. RefSeq lists it as uncharacterized. Lineage: Eukaryota; Metazoa; Arthropoda; Branchiopoda; Diplostraca; Daphniidae. The transcript is spliced from 8 exons. The record is from RefSeq and is a predicted model, not a curated record.